This 443-nucleotide ribosomal RNA is filed under the name uncultured bacterium. Its description in RNAcentral is "partial 16S ribosomal RNA". It matches the Rfam family "Bacterial small subunit ribosomal RNA", at positions 338 to 795 of the family's 1533-position model. The record is from RNAcentral.
CCUACGGGUGGCAGCAGUGGGGAAUAUUGGGCAAUGGACGCAAGUCUGACCCAGCAACGCCGCGUGAAGGAAGAAGGCUUUCGGGUUGUAAACUUCUUUUAAGGGGGAAGAGCAGAAGACGGUACCCCUUGAAUAAGCCACGGCUAACUACGUGCCAGCAGCCGCGGUAAUACGGGGGAUGCAAGCGUUAUCCGGAUUUAUUGGGUUUAAAGGGUGCGUAGGCUGUGAGGUAAGUCAGCGGUGAAAUGCCCCCGCUCAACGGGGUGAAGUGCCAUUGAUACUGCCUUGCUGGAAUGCGGAUGCCGUGGGAGGAAUGUGUGGUGUAGCGGUGAAAUGCAUAGAUAUCACACAGAACACCGAUUGCGAAGGCAUCUCACGAAUCCGCGAUUGACGCUGAUGCACGAAAGCGUGGGUAUCAAACAGGAUUAGAUACCCCAGUAGUC